This 525-nucleotide ribosomal RNA is filed under the name uncultured Sideroxydans sp. RNAcentral's name for it is "bacterial SSU rRNA". It matches the Rfam family "Bacterial small subunit ribosomal RNA", at positions 8 to 526 of the family's 1533-position model. The record is from RNAcentral. Lineage: Bacteria; Pseudomonadati; Pseudomonadota; Betaproteobacteria; Nitrosomonadales; Gallionellaceae.
AGAGUUUGAUCCUGGCUCAGAUUGAACGCUGGCGGCAUGCUUUACACAUGCAAGUCGAACGGCAGCAUGGGUGCUUGCACCUGAUGGCGAGUGGCGAACGGGUGAGUAAUAUAUCGGAACAUGUCCGGAAGUGGGGGAUAACGUAGCGAAAGUUACGCUAAUACCGCAUAUGCCCUGAGGGGGAAAGGAGGGGAUCGUAAGACCUUUCGCUUUCGGAGUGGCCGAUAUCAGAUUAGCUUGUUGGUGAGGUAAAGGCUCACCAAGGCGACGAUCUGUAGCUGGUCUGAGAGGACGACCAGCCACACUGGGACUGAGACACGGCCCAGACUCCUACGGGAGGCAGCAGUGGGGAAUUUUGGACAAUGGGCGCAAGCCUGAUCCAGCCAUGCCGCGUGAGUGAAGAAGGCCUUCGGGUUGUAAAGCUCUUUCAGCCGGAAAGAAAUCGUGCAACCUAAUACGUUGUAUGGAUGACGGUACCGGAAGAAGAAGCACCGGCUAACUACGUGCCAGCAGCCGCGGUAAUAC